Molecule: unclassified non-coding RNA, 343 nt
Filed under: soil metagenome
Description: partial contains 5.8S ribosomal RNA, internal transcribed spacer 2, and large subunit ribosomal RNA
Rfam family: 5.8S ribosomal RNA (bases 1-120)
Source: RNAcentral
GAUGAAGAACGUAGCGAAAUGCGAUAAGUAAUGUGAAUUGCAGAAUUCAGUGAAUCAUCGAAUCUUUGAACGCACAUUGCGCCCGCUAGUAUUCUGGCGGGCAUGCCUGUCCGGGCGUCAUUUCAACCCUCAAGCCCCCGGGCUUGGUGUUGGGGAUCGGCGAGCCUCCGCGCCCGCCGUCCCCUAAAUCUAGUGGCGGUCUCGCUGUAGCUUCCUCUGCGUAGUAGCACACCUCGCACUGGGAAACAGCGCGGCCACGCCGUUAAACCCCCAACUUCUGAACGUUUGACCUCGGAUCAGGUAGGAAUACCCGCUGAACUUAAGCAUAUCAAUAAGCGGAGGA